This 509-nucleotide unclassified non-coding RNA is filed under the name Hevea brasiliensis (rubber tree). Lineage: Eukaryota; Viridiplantae; Streptophyta; Magnoliopsida; Malpighiales; Euphorbiaceae. The record is from RNAcentral.
GUACACAAGCAGUUUCUUUGGUUCGCAUCCAUGAAGGACACACGUGCCACCGACGCCUCCAGUGGUCUCGAAUGAAAUGGUGCCAAAGGGUAGCUCACAGAUGGCAACAGAAGCACCGAAAUUGCAGCAAAGCGGGAGGCACAGACACCUCCACUGCCAGCGCCGAUUGUAAAGAGGUCAAAAUUGUAGUGGCGAGUGGACUCGGCUCCAUUAUCGGAGUCAGAGAGAACAGUGAAAUGGGCGAGGAUGGGGAUGGGAGGGAGAGAGAGAGAGAAAGGGGACGAGGAGGGAGAGAGGAUAGGGAUUUGGGAGGAGAGAGAUUGCGACAGGGAACUUCCUGUAGAGGGAUUGAAGAGUAGGAGAGGUAAGUUUAGGAGUAGCGAGAGAAGUAGGUGCUGCCAUGUUUGGGCGGGGAAGGUUUGCGUAUUUGUUAUUUCAGUUCUUUUGGCGGUCAUAAAUAUACCUUGCGCCUUGUGGAAGAAGACAGUUUAUAGACAGUUCAUCGGGUG